Long non-coding RNA from Meriones unguiculatus (Mongolian gerbil), 739 nucleotides. RefSeq lists it as uncharacterized. NCBI's taxonomy places the organism in Eukaryota, Metazoa, Chordata, Mammalia, Rodentia, Muridae. The record is from RefSeq and is a predicted model, not a curated record. The transcript is spliced from 3 exons.
CCGGGAAGGUCCAGCCCAUUGGUCCGUGAGCUCCCGCGCUUCUUGGAAUUCAAUGACUGAGUUGCAGAGUUGGGAUCCUCCCUGUUGGAGCCUGACUGCCAACCCGUCCGGUUCGAGCGAGCUGACCAUUUUAGGGAAUAGAGUUGAGACUUAACGAGAGGUGCCGCUCAUGUUUAGGGGAUAAGGAAUCUUACUAAAGCGUUCUGUACGCCUUCUUUUCUCAGAGGUGAGGGGAGCAAAUCGAGUCCGUAUUAGCUUUUUAGGUUUUCGAUUUUUUUUCGAGGCAGGGUUUCUCUGUGUAACAAGAGCCCUGGCUGUCCUGGACUUGCUUUGUAGCCCAGGCUGGCCUCGAACUCAGAUCUGCCUGCCUCUGGGAUUAAAAGCAUGCGCCACCGCGCCCGGCUGUCGCAUAUAUUUUUGCUGUCACCAUUCCCCACAAGACCCGGAAUUUUAUCUCAUCAAGAAUAAAUGAAGUCGCCGGGCGGGAGUGCUAGCGCACAUCUUUAACCACAACACUCGGGAGGCAGAGGCCAGCCUGGUCUACGGCGUUCUAGGACAACCAGAGCUGUUCAGUGAAACCUGUCUGGAAAAACAACAAAAAAAAUGUUCGGGGGAUGGAGAGAUGGCUCAGAGGUUAAGAGCACUGGCUUCUCUUCCAGAAUUCCUGAGUUCAAUUCCCAGCAACCACGUGAUGGCCCGUUACCAUCUAUAAUGAGAUCUGGUGCCCUCUGCUGGUAAG